This is a long non-coding RNA of Etheostoma cragini (Arkansas darter), 316 nucleotides long. RefSeq lists it as uncharacterized. NCBI's taxonomy places the organism in Eukaryota, Metazoa, Chordata, Actinopteri, Perciformes, Percidae. The record is from RefSeq and is a predicted model, not a curated record. The transcript is spliced from 3 exons.
ACUUAAUGGCUAUGCUCAAACAGAGCACCCUACUUAAAGCAGAUUCAGUUUGUUCCUAACUGCUUGCUGCUUUUUUCUCUGCAACCCACCCACUCCCUGGCUCCAGCUUGUCGUGUAGAACAUGGCAUUUGCUUCUAUGUUAUCGUUGCUUUUCUGUCCAUAUGGGGGAAUAGUUCAGCUCCCCCAGUCCUAAACUGUUUGAGCGUCCCCUAAUGCUGCGGCUGUCUGACUCUCUGCUAUUUCAUGGUGCUCGUGAAAGGUCAGAGGACCCCCUUAACAGAGCCAUACUGCCAAUUUUUAAUUAAGAAUUUAUUAA